RNAcentral lists this transfer RNA (73 nucleotides) under Ailuropoda melanoleuca (giant panda). It matches the Rfam family "tRNA". From Rfam's summary of the family: Transfer RNA (tRNA) molecules are approximately 80 nucleotides in length. Lineage: Eukaryota; Metazoa; Chordata; Mammalia; Carnivora; Ursidae. The record is from Rfam by way of RNAcentral.
GCCUAGCUGGCUCAGUUGGUAGAGCACAUGACUGUUAAUCACGGGGUCAUGAGUUUGAGCCCCACAUUGGGUG